RNAcentral lists this ribosomal RNA (445 nucleotides) under uncultured bacterium. RNAcentral's name for it is "bacterial SSU rRNA". It matches the Rfam family "Bacterial small subunit ribosomal RNA", at positions 28 to 355 of the family's 1533-position model. The record is from RNAcentral.
GAUGAACGCUGGCGGCGUGCUUAACACAUGCAAGUCGAGCGGGCAAUUUAUCUAGCACUGAUUACUUCAAAUGGAAAUCAUAAGUGUAAUCAUGAAUUUCUACCUUUAAUAAAGAAAAAAGAAAUUCAUGUACGCAAAUAGUGAUAACACAUUUUAGUGAAGUGAUGAGUGCUGGAUAAAUUGCUAGCGGCGGACGGGUGCGUAACACGUGGGUAACCUGCCCCUAUCACUGGGAUAACACACUGAAAAGUGUGCUAAUACCAGAUAAUAUAAGCUUUUGGCAUCAUUAGCUUAUCAAAGAAUUUCGGAUAGGGAUGGGCCCGCGUCUGAUUAGCUAGUUGGUGAGGUAACGGCUCACCAAGGCAACGAUCAGUAGCCGACCUGAGAGGGUGAUCGGCCACACUGGAACUGAGACACGGUCCAGACUCCUACGGGAGGCAGCAGU